AAUCAAUCACUCUGACAUCUAGACAAUCGAGUCCCACCGAUGUUAGCGAGCUAUCGAAGGCGGGGUAACCGUCAGAAGCCAGGUGACGAGCCACGAGGGUAUCCGCUGCAAUCCUCAAUCCCGGUCACCACAUAGAUCAAGAUCUAUAACACUUUUCCGAAGAAAAGCCACAUUCUCUCAAAUUUUUUAUGAUAACCGAAAUUGAUGCUAACCUGCCGGGUGAGAAAGUGCACCAGAAAGUACGAGGGAGAACCCACACACCAUCAGGUUGAUUCCUCACUAGCAUGAC
This 289-nucleotide ribosomal RNA is filed under the name uncultured Glomeromycotina. Its description in RNAcentral is "partial large subunit ribosomal RNA". Lineage: Eukaryota; Fungi; Glomeromycota. The record is from RNAcentral.